Molecule: ribosomal RNA, 480 nt
Filed under: uncultured bacterium
Lineage: Bacteria
Description: bacterial SSU rRNA
Rfam family: Bacterial small subunit ribosomal RNA
Source: RNAcentral
GAGCGGCCCGCGUCUGAUUAGCUUGUUGGUGAGGUAAUGGCUCACCAAGGCUACGAUCAGUAGCUGGUCUGAGAGGAUGAUCAGCCACAUUGGGACUGAGAACACGGCCCAAACUCCUACGGGAGGCAGCAGUGGGGAAUCUUGCGCAAUGGGCGAAAGCCUGACGCAGCCAUGCCGCGUGAAUGAUGAAGGUCUUAGGAUUGUAAAAUUCUUUCACCGGGGACGAUAAUGACGGUACCCGGAGAAGAAGCCCCGGCUAACUUCGUGCCAGCAGCCGCGGUAAUACGAAGGGGGCUAGCGUUGCUCGGAAUUACUGGGCGUAAAGGGAGCGUAGGCGGAUAGUUCAGUCAGAGGUGAAAGCCCAGGGCUCAACCUUGGAACUGCCUUUGAUACUGGCUAUCUUGAGUUUGGGAGAGGUAUGUGGAACUCCGAGUGUAGAGGUGAAAUUCGUAGAUAUUCGGAAGAACACCAGUGGCGAAG